Molecule: ribosomal RNA, 442 nt
Filed under: uncultured bacterium
Lineage: Bacteria
Description: partial 16S ribosomal RNA
Rfam family: Bacterial small subunit ribosomal RNA
Source: RNAcentral
CCUACGGGAGGCAGCAGUAGGGAAUCUUUCACAAUGGGCGAAAGCCUGAUGGAGCAACGCCGCGUGCAGGAUGACGGCCUUCGGGUUGUAAACUGCUUUUAUAAGCGAGAAAUAUGAUGGUAACUUAUGAAUAAGGAUCGGCUAACUACGUGCCAGCAGCCGCGGUCAUACGUAGGCUCCGAGCAUUAUCCGGAGUGACUGGGUGUAAAGAGUUGCGUAGGUGGGUUAAUAAGUAGCUAGUGAAAUCUGGUGGCUCAACCAUUCAGACUAUUAGCUAAACUGUUAAGCUCGAGACCGUUAGGGGUAACUGGAAUUUCUAGUGUAGGGGUGAAAUCCGUAGAUAUUAGAAAGAACACCAAUAGCGAAGGCAGGUUGCUGGGACGGUUCUGACACUAAGGCACGAAAGCGUAGGGAGCAAACGGGAUUAGAUACCCCAGUAGUC